GACGAACGCUGGCGGUGUGCUUCACACAUGCAAGUCGAACGAGGUAGCAAUACCUAGUGGCGGACGGGUGAGUAACGCGUGGGAAUCUGCCUUUAGAUGGGGGAUAACGGGUCGAAAGACUCGCUAAUACCGCAUAUGACGAAAGUUGAAAGGAGUAAUCCGUCUAAAGAUGAGCCCGCGUCCGAUUAGCUAGUUGGUAGAAUAAAAGCCUACCAAGGCGACGAUCGGUAGCCUGGUCUGAGAGGAUGAUCAGCCAACAAUGGGACUGAGACACGGCCCAUACUCCUACGGGAGGCAGCAGUGGGAAUUUUACGCAAUGGGCGAAAGCCUGACGUAGCGACACCGCGUGAGCGAAGAAGCCCCUUGGGGCGUAAAGCUCUGUCAGCUGGAACGAAAAAAAUGACGGUACCAGCAGAGGAAGCAUCGGCUAACUACGUGCCAGCAGCCGCGGUAAUGUCUGUACU
Molecule: ribosomal RNA, 464 nt
Filed under: uncultured bacterium
Lineage: Bacteria
Description: bacterial SSU rRNA
Rfam family: Bacterial small subunit ribosomal RNA
Source: RNAcentral